Molecule: ribosomal RNA, 554 nt
Filed under: Diaporthe sp.
Lineage: Eukaryota; Fungi; Ascomycota; Sordariomycetes; Diaporthales; Diaporthaceae
Description: eukaryotic LSU rRNA
Rfam family: 5.8S ribosomal RNA (bases 193-346)
Source: RNAcentral
UCCUGCGGAGGGAUCAUUGCUGGAACGCGCCCCAGGCGCACCCAGAAACCCUUUGUGAACUUAUACCUUACUGUUGCCUCGGCGCAUGCUGGCCCCCUCGGGGUCCCUCGGAGACGAGGAGCAGGCACGCCGGCGGCCAAGUUAACUCUUGUUUUUACACUGAAACUCUGAGAAAAAACACAAAUGAAUCAAAACUUUCAACAACGGAUCUCUUGGUUCUGGCAUCGAUGAAGAACGCAGCGAAAUGCGAUAAGUAAUGUGAAUUGCAGAAUUCAGUGAAUCAUCGAAUCUUUGAACGCACAUUGCGCCCUCUGGUAUUCCGGAGGGCAUGCCUGUUCGAGCGUCAUUUCAACCCUCAAGCAUUGCUUGGUGUUGGGGCACUGCCUGUAAAAGGGCAGGCCCUGAAAUCUAGUGGCGAGCUCGCCAGGACCCCGAGCGCAGUAGUUAAACCCUCGCUUUGGAAGGCCCUGGCGGUGCCCUGCCGUUAAACCCCCAACUUUUGAAAAUUUGACCUCGGAUCAGGUAGGAAUACCCGCUGAACUUAAGCAUAUCAA